CAUUGAAACAAAUUAAAAAAUUAUGUAAUAUUAAAUAUAACUGAAGUAUAUAUAAGUCUACCUUCUGUUUUCUGAUCUCACACAAAUAUAUGAUUCUGUGAACGUUCUGUCCUACCACGAUUAUAAUACUUUUAACUCUUUCUGUGGUGUAGGCCUACAUUUAAGCGUUUGUACUCUCUGAUCAUCAAAAAGGGAAAAUGGUGCGAACAUCGGCAUUGGUUGCUUUCAUAUUUACUCUUGCCGUAUUGGAGCUAUGCGUAGGAGAAACAGAUCCAUUUCUUAACGAAGAAAAUGAAGGCAGUGAUGAGAGUCUUAAACGUAGAGGUGCAAUUUUGAACGGGCAGCCUGUUAACCGGGCUGUUUACCUAGCCCCGAUGACUACAGAAGAUGAGGCGGGGGCAGAAGUGGAAAAGAGAGAAGAGGGCAAGGACAAGAAAAUGCAUAUCCCUGAUUUGGAAUCCAAGAGAGAUUGCGAGUCGUCAUGUCCUGCAGCGGCACGUAAACUACAGUAAUGUAUAACUUCUGUUUAAUGCCAGAGACAAGAAACCACUUCAUAAUCUACGUGACUGCCCAUCAUGUCCCGCAGGGCCCGUAAACUCGGAUAAUAAUAAUAAUAAUACUAAUUAAAAAUUAUGUCAUUGAUAACAAAGAUAUGUACAAACUUCUUUCUGUUAUAUGCAUUUUAGCGUCAAUCGUAUUUGAGAGUUUCAUGUAUCGUGGACUUAGAUUGCAUUUGUGAGCUGCAUUAAAAAAAUAUUACGAAA
Molecule: long non-coding RNA, 764 nt
Organism: Anneissia japonica
Lineage: Eukaryota; Metazoa; Echinodermata; Crinoidea; Comatulida; Comatulidae
Exons: 2
Source: RefSeq, a predicted model, not a curated record